This is a long non-coding RNA of Bombus terrestris (buff-tailed bumblebee), 4026 nucleotides long. RefSeq lists it as uncharacterized. The transcript has 3 exons. Lineage: Eukaryota; Metazoa; Arthropoda; Insecta; Hymenoptera; Apidae. The record is from RefSeq and is a predicted model, not a curated record.
ACCGCACGUGUAUCCAAAAAACUGUCAAGUUCGAUUUCCCUGGAAACGAGGCUUCGCACGAAGAAAUUGUAUUUGAAAUUUUCGAUUUAUUUUUCCACACAGAAUAAUCUUCUGGCCGAAUCACGUAUCCCUGAACCAUUAGUACCGAUUUACUUCGAGAACGAAGCUCCGAAUGAACAAAAUUGUGCUUCACAUUUCUGACCAUUUAUUUUCGUACGUAGAAUAAGCAUUUUUCCUCCAAGCCCUGUUGUUGUCCGGUUGUCGAUCCUCUUCGUGGAAACCGACAAUUUAAAGCAAAGCUAACUGCCAUUGUUAGCCGGUUUGAAGAUGGUAAUUAGUAUCGACUCGUAUCGUCGUGUUUACGCCGUGGAAAGUUCAUUUCGCGCGGAAUACGAAACUUUGCGACGACGGCGCGACGACUUAGUGCACGCCUGACGUAUUUAGUUGCAAAUUUUACCAGUUAACCGUAUCUGCAGUUUGGAAUUCCUGUUCUGCCCGAGACUCGUCUUCUCCAUCGCGACAUUCCACUCGAACAAUGCGUGCUGAUUGACUGACACUGAUUGUCGAAUUCUUCCAUUUUGGAGAACCGAUUCAUUUUCAUUCGGCGAGAAGUUGAAGAAUUUGAAGAAGAAGAUCCACUUAAGAUCUUAAUGUAUUAUUGAUAUAAAUAUUUACGAACGAAGAUGGACGUUACGUGGAAAAAUUCGACGAUUUUCGCAUACCAUGGACCGUCGCUCAAAAGCUUGCAGCAUCGUCUUCGAAAGAGACGAACUUUUUCGUAAAUUUUUUCGACGAAUAAGAGUAUUAUCGUUAGACUGCGGACUUUUAUAAACAUUCACGUUUUCGGGAAUACAAUGGAAAAAGUAAAAUCUCCAUGGAGAAUUAUUUUGCCUGCCAAAUAUUAAUAGAAAGAACCUUCGACAUUUUAUAUGUUUCUUCGUUAAUAUUCGUAUUACAGCUUGCACUUCUCGAUUUCUUCUAAAUGCAUGAAACAUCUAUUUGCUUAAGAAGUCGUCGUUUCCUACGAAAUCCUAACGCGUUCCAAACAUUGUCCAGAAAUGCGUAAAUAUCGAUAGUCUAGUAAUUAUACAAUAAUAAAUAAGAGAGAAAUAAAUAGGACAAAAGGCUGAUCCCACGAAAAGGUAAGAAUGACGUAGGAUUUGCAAAAUGAAUUUCAUCAUCGUCGGUAGAAUAUCAAGGAUUUGGCAGUGCAAAACCGACGACGAUUUACGCGCGCAUCAAAAAGCCCCGAAACAAAGGCGGGGGGAGGUAGGAGGGGCACGCACGCGCGUGGAAUUUGGCACAAUCAAUAAACGGCAUUUGGCAGUGGGCGAGUUUGAUUCAAAAUUGCAAGACCACCGACGACGCUUCCGGUUCCUCAAACGCAAGAUUUACGCGCGAGACGCCGCAUAGCGCCAUCAUCGCCACUCUAUUCUCGCCCCGAGAUGAUGCGAUGUUGAGCGAGUUUGUCAUUCCUUUGGUCACUUUUCAAAUAAUUAUGCAACAUAUCAUUGCCGAACUGUAUUUGCUCGACGUGACUCUAAUGGACGCGACGAUAUUCUUCUCGCGUUAUGUGUACUUUUUGUUGGCGAACGUUAACCCACUGGAAAAUUUCGGCAAAAAGACAAAUUUUCAACAGCAAUUUUUCCAUUUCCAUGUUGAUUAAUUUUCGAUACAAUUAAGAACCUAGCAAUUUUAGUGCGCUGUUCCAGUAACGGGACCAACAUCGAAUUCCCCCAGCGCAUUUCACAGAUAAAUAACUAAAAUAAAUAAAUAAAUGGCAACAAGACGAAUAAAAUAAAAUAUACAGAACGUAUAUGUACGGCGUCCAAAUUCGAUAAAAUAUGCAGAACGUAUAAACACAAUAUUGGGUCGUAUAAUAUAUUUAAGCUCUAAUAUACUUCGACACACGAUAUAUUUGAACUUUAAUGUAGCAUUUACUUGAACAAAACAGUAUGUAAAUUAUUUACCCAUUAUGCGUUAUUUUAUCGCUCGAUGCUUAAUUAUGUUGUAACCCUUUCUUAAGAAAAAGGUGGCUGUUCACGGUAGCUCGAGUAUCAAAUUUUCCACGUGUUGCAUAAUAUGGCACAUAUUGUUACAUAUAUAACGAUAGAAAAUGGUUAGCAGGCAAUCGAAGCGGCUUUUAGAAUGCGUCACGUGCGUGUGACGUUUGGCAGCAGCUGUGUGAAGCAACUAGUGCGUCACACGUGUGUGACGCAUGGUAGCGAAAAGGUUAAAUAACGCAGAAAUCCGAUGUUCGCUGUAAAUCGCACAAAAUAUGCAUAUCCAAUAAGUUGCAAAUCGCAUCAGCCAACUCUUGUCCUCGUCCUAGCACGAUCACUUACGUAAAAGUAUGGCGACAGAACGCGAUUAAUUAAACUUGCGCCAAUUAUUUCAAAGUGACUGGAUGCAGCUUCCUAAUGCGGAAUGGUGCACAAAGCGUGUUCGAAGGGACCUGGUUGUUGAAAUUCUCCAUUCAUUCGAGCCGGCAGUCAAAGAAUUGUUUCAGAGAGAAAAGGAAUUGGACAGCGAUGGAAUAAAGACACGGCAGGCCAGACGGAAUUGUUCGGGAAUUACUGAGAUUACUCGAGGAACCAAGGGGGUGGAACAGGGUGGCCGGGGAUCUCAAAUGCGAAAUAUCGUUGACGACGAAGUACCAAGAGCCGAAAAAUUCACCUGUCCAGCGAAAUUUUCAUCAACGAAAACUACGAGGGACGAUGUUGCUUUAGAUGACACUAUCUAUACACAUAGAUGAAGUUCCGUUAAAUGUACGUCUUGUUUACGCAAAAAUAUCAACAUUAUCUUCGAUUAUUUAUUGAACAAUUUAUACAUACUGUAUAGUAUACUCUAAAGAUAUGCGGAACCCAUUUCAGCAGAUGAUUGUGGAUUUAAAAACGAUGUAAAAGGUUCAUAUAGGCACAUGGUCCGGAUGUUUGCGUUUGCGAGAUGUAACCAAAUUGCUGUUCUGAUUUUGUGUUAUCUAAAUACAAUUACAGAAGAUGCUCCAGAUGAUCAUUUUGCAUUUCAAGGCAACUUGGUAGGCGUCUUGUCAUGGAUCCGGUUACGCCCUGUAUAGUUACCGAUGUUUCCCAAGUUUGUUGGGAAGCUCCUUCGAUUCCGAACCUUAGAGUUUCAACGUUUCCGAUCGAUUUAUUUACGCUCUAUUUGCAAAAUUCGUUUUACAUAUCUCGUAAACGAAGACAAAUACAGCAUACGUUUAUGCGGACCAUUUUCAAUAUUCUUAGAUGUACGAUCAUUUGGCAAAGUGGGUCAUGCUAGUGCUAGUUCGACUACGUUUCAUUGCUAUCUCUACUUUCGUUACCUGUUCAUUUAUUUUUAUUUCCCACUGUAUAUAGUACAUGGUACGGGGCAUUUGUAUUAUUUGGUGAUUUUUUCGAGGUGAAAAAAGAGAAGAAAUAACGAUGGCCAUUAGUUGAUCGUAAAAUUCAGAGAAUACGAGAAAGUCUCGAGGGGCAUAGAAGAUUGUUUUUCUGUCGAACGCCGCCGGAAAUGAAGAGUUCCAUGGACCUCGGACUCUUUAAUGCACUCAGAUAAACGUGGAAUGACGUAAAAAAAAUAUAUAUCGAAUAGAGAAAUUGUAGUUUUACCGUGAAAAUAAAUUUCCACGCGAUUUUUAUUUUCUUUCCUUCGUUAAACACCGGUCUCGUUGAGCGCAUUUAAUUUCAACGAACAUUUGUUGCUAGAGGAAGUGAAAAUAUCUACGAAGAUUGAUAUUUUAAUCUUCAUCAGCAAGGAACGAAUAAUAUGUUCGUUUUCUCUUUGAGAUAUAAUUAAUAUCACAUUUCUGACAUCUAUUUGACGCUAAUUAAUAUAAUCUAGACGAGUGUCGAUCAAUAUCAGAGGUAAUUUUGAACAAAAACAUAUCAAACUACGUAACACGUACAUUUUGCAUAACCGCAAUAAUCGUGCAGUAUACUAAUUCAACCUAAACAUUUACUAAGUCGAUAAUUAUCAAUAUGUAGGUAAAAAUACAUUGGAUCUAUUAAUCAUUCUCGUCGAAUACGA